UACGGAGGGAGCUAGCGUUGUUCGGAAUUAUUGGGCGUAAAGAGCUCGUAGGCGGCUUGUCACGUCGGGUGUGAAAGCCCGGGGCUUAACCCCGGGUCUGCAUUCGAUACGGGCUGGCUGGAGUGUGGUAGGGGAGAUCGGAAUUCCUGGUGUAGCGGUGAAAUGCGCAGAUAUCAGGAGGAACACCGGUGGCGAAGGCGGAUCUCUGGGCCAUUACUGACGCUGAGGAGCGAAAGCGUGGGGAGCGAACAGG
RNAcentral lists this ribosomal RNA (253 nucleotides) under uncultured bacterium. Its description in RNAcentral is "partial 16S ribosomal RNA". It matches the Rfam family "Bacterial small subunit ribosomal RNA", at positions 524 to 776 of the family's 1533-position model. The record is from RNAcentral.